Molecule: ribosomal RNA, 468 nt
Filed under: uncultured bacterium
Lineage: Bacteria
Description: partial 16S ribosomal RNA
Rfam family: Bacterial small subunit ribosomal RNA
Source: RNAcentral
GACGAACGCUGGCGGCGUGCUUAACACAUGCAAGUCGAACGGAAAGGCCCUGCUUUUGUGGGGUGCUCGAGUGGCGAACGGGUGAGUAACACGUGAGUAACCUGCCCUUGACUUUGGGAUAACUUCAGGAAACUGGGGCUAAUACCGGAUAGGAGCUCCUGCUGCAUGGUGGGGGUUGGAAAGUUUCGGCGGUGGGGGAUGGACUCGCGGCUUAUCAGCUUGUUGGUGAGGUAGUGGCUUACCAAGGCUUUGACGGGUAGCCGGCCUGAGAGGGUGACCGGCCACAUUGGGACUGAGAUACGGCCCAGACUCCUACGGGAGGCAGCAGUGGGGAAUAUUGCACAAUGGGCGGAAGCCUGAUGCAGCAACGCCGCGUGCGGGAUGACGGCCUUCGGGUUGUAAACCGCUUUCGCCUGUGACGAAGCGUGAGUGACGGUAAUGGGUAAAGAAGCACCGGCUAACUACGUG